Natronolimnobius baerhuensis is the source of this 186-nucleotide small RNA. It matches the Rfam family "Sense overlapping transcript RNA 0042 (sot)". Rfam says of the family: It is associated with IS1341-type transposase (tnpB) genes, at the 3'-end in H. salinarum NRC-1. The tetraloop structural motif may be functional. NCBI's taxonomy places the organism in Archaea, Methanobacteriati, Methanobacteriota, Halobacteria, Halobacteriales, Natrialbaceae. The record is from Rfam.
AAGUAUCUCCGAGUCUUGCCUGCGAUGGGGGAGAUAGGAGUAACGGCUGGUUGGCACAGCCAUCGACGUACCUGUUUGACAAGGAAACUGGCGCAUUCGAGCCUCAAGAACAAGUCACGUCGUAAACCACAAUAUCCCAACCCAGCGGCGCGGUGCCGUGGGAAUCCUCGCGCUUCAGCGCGGGGA